UACAGAGGGUGCGAGCGUUAAUCGGAAUUACUGGGCGUAAAGCGCACGUAGUCGGCUUUGCAAGUCGGGUGUGAAAUCCCCGGGCUCAACAUGGGAACUGCAUCCGAGACUGCAUUGCUAGAGUAUGGGAGAGGGAAGCGGAAUUUCUGGUGUAGCAGUGAAAUGCGUAGAUAUCAGAAGGAACAUCAGUGGCGAAGGCGGCUUCCUGGACCAAUACUGACGAUCAGGUGCGAAAGCGUGGGGAGCAAACGGG
Molecule: ribosomal RNA, 253 nt
Filed under: uncultured bacterium
Lineage: Bacteria
Description: partial 16S ribosomal RNA
Rfam family: Bacterial small subunit ribosomal RNA
Source: RNAcentral